GUGGGGAAUCUUAGACAAUGGGGGCAACCCUGAUCUAGCCAUGCCGCGUGAUCGAUGAAGGCCUUAGGGUUGUAAAGAUCUUUCAGCUGGGAAGAUAAUGACGGUACCCGGAGAAGAAGCUCCGGCUAACUUCGUGCCAGCAGCCGCGGUAAUACGAAGGGGGCUAGCGUUGCUCGGAUUUACUGGGCGUAAAGGGCGCGUAGGCGGACAUUUAAGUCAGGGGUGAAAUCCCGGGGCUCAACCUCGGAACUGCCUUUGAUACUGGGUGUCUUGCGUAUGAGAGAGGUGUGUGGAACUCCGAGUGUAGAGGUGAAAUUCGUAGAUAUUGGGAGGAACACCAGUGGCGAAGGCGCCUUUCUGGACUGUGUCUGACGCUGAGAUGCGAAAGCCAGGGUAGCAAACGGGAUUAGAUACCCUUGUAGUCC
This 425-nucleotide ribosomal RNA is filed under the name uncultured bacterium. RNAcentral describes it as "partial 16S ribosomal RNA". It matches the Rfam family "Bacterial small subunit ribosomal RNA", at positions 354 to 796 of the family's 1533-position model. The record is from RNAcentral.